RNAcentral lists this ribosomal RNA (484 nucleotides) under uncultured bacterium. RNAcentral describes it as "partial 16S ribosomal RNA". It matches the Rfam family "Bacterial small subunit ribosomal RNA", at positions 30 to 507 of the family's 1533-position model. The record is from RNAcentral.
AUUGAACGCUGGCGGCAGGCCUAACACAUGCAAGUCGAGCGGAAGAAGGGAGCUUGCUCCUGGAUUCAGCGGCGGACGGGUGAGUAAUGCCUAGGAAUCUGCCUGGUAGUGGGGGAUAACGUCCGGAAACGGGCGCUAAUACCGCAUACGUCCUGAGGGAGAAAGUGGGGGAUCUUCGGACCUCACGCUAUCAGAUGAGCCUAGGUCGGAUUAGCUAGUUGGUGGGGUAAAGGCCUACCAAGGCGACGAUCCGUAACUGGUCUGAGAGGAUGAUCAGUCACACUGGAACUGAGACACGGUCCAGACUCCUACGGGAGGCAGCAGUGGGGAAUAUUGGACAAUGGGCGAAAGCCUGAUCCAGCCAUGCCGCGUGUGUGAAGAAGGUCUUCGGAUUGUAAAGCACUUUAAGUUGGGAGGAAGGGCAGUAAGUUAAUACCUUGCUGUUUUGACGUUACCAGCAGAAUAAGCACCGGCUAACUUCGUG